GAAAAUUCUCGAAGCAAACGCUUCAGAAACACUGUGUGCACCGUUUUCUGUCUCUGGCAGGACCAGGGAGCAGCGAUGCUCUCCCCUGCCAAAGGAGUGGGAGCUGCCCUUCGGGCGACUUCCAUUCUGAUUUGAACAACCCUAUGUUUGUUUCAAUUUGUCUGAAUAAUUCUUCACCUAGUGUGAGAAAUUGAAAACAACUUUUGGCAACGGAUCUCUUGGCUCUCGCAACGAUGAAGAACGCAGCGAAUUGCGAUAAGUAAUGUGAAUUGCAGAAUUCAGUGAAUCAUCGAAUCUUUGAACGCACAUUGCGCUCCUGGGUAUUCCUGGGAGCAUGCCCGUUUGAGAAUCAGUGAAAACCUCAACACCUUCUGUGCUUCCUAGUGAAACAGGGUUGGCUGUUGGACUUGGGUCAUUUGCGAACAGGUGUUUCUGAUGCGGGGGAUUGUUGAUGUUAGUGCUUUCGGGUUCGCCCGAGGGGGGGCACUGACCUUGACAUGCAUCCAGGGGUGUAAGCACCGCAAAGCAAUGAUCUUAAAUUCAAUGUCCGCUGCUCCUUCGUAAGUAGGUGCAUUGGCCCGAGUGCUGGAAUGGUCUCACGACUUUUUUUAUCUCUCGAGUCCGCAUUUGCAGACGGUGUGAUGUCGGUGUGAACUCACAACUGAUUGUAAAGAGAACUGGUUCCGUAAGGUUCCUUCUCUCAACUUGGUCUCAAAUCGGGUAGGAGAACCCGCUGAACUUAAGCAUAUCAAUAAGCGGAGGAAUCGCGAUCUUGGUCAUUUAGAGGAAGUAAAAGUCGUAACAAGGUCUUCGUAGGUGAACCUGCGGAGGGAUCAUUACCGAGUUAGGGCCUCAGGCCCGAACCUCCCAACCCAUUGUUAUCAUAACUCAGUUGCUUCGGGCAGGCCUGUCUUGACCGGCCUGAGGCCCCCCCCGGAGCCUGCCGACCCCACUUCAAAAUUCUUACUACAUGUCUUGAGUCUGAGUAAAGAUCUUUAAAUAAAUCA
This 1007-nucleotide unclassified non-coding RNA is filed under the name soil metagenome. RNAcentral describes it as "partial contains internal transcribed spacer 1, 5.8S ribosomal RNA, and internal transcribed spacer 2". The stretch from base 199 to 352 matches the Rfam family "5.8S ribosomal RNA". The record is from RNAcentral.